GAUGAAGAACGCAGCAAAAUGCGAUAAGUAAUGUGAAUUGCAGAAUUCAGUGAAUCAUCGAAUCUUUGAACGCACAUUGCGCCCGCCAGUAUUCUGGCGGGCAUGCCUGUUCGAGCGUCAUUUCAACCCUCAAGCACAGCUUGGUGUUGGGACUCGCGUUAAUUCGCGUUCCCCAAAUUGAUUGGCGGUCACGUCGAGCUUCCAUAGCGUAGUAGUAAAACCCUCGUUACUGGUAAUCGUCGCGGCCACGCCGUUAAACCCCAACUUCUGAAUGUUGACCUCGGAUCAGGUAGGAAUACCCGCUGAACUAAAGCAUAUCAAUAAGCGGAGGA
RNAcentral lists this unclassified non-coding RNA (332 nucleotides) under soil metagenome. RNAcentral's name for it is "partial contains 5.8S ribosomal RNA, internal transcribed spacer 2, and large subunit ribosomal RNA". The stretch from base 1 to 120 matches the Rfam family "5.8S ribosomal RNA", at positions 35 to 154 of the family's 154-position model. The record is from RNAcentral.